CUACGGGAGGCAGCAGUAAGGAAUAUUGGUCAAUGGGCGCAAGCCUGAACCAGCCAUGCCGCGUGCGGGAAGAAGGCGCUACGCGUCGUAAACCGCUUUUGUCUGGGGGUAACCGCAGGGACGUGUCCCUGCCUGCAAGUACCAGACGAAUAAGGGUCGGCUAACUCCGUGCCAGCAGCCGCGGUAAUACGGAGGACCCGAGCGUUAUCCGGAUUCAUUGGGUUUAAGGGGUGCGUAGGCGGCCCGGUCAGUCAGCGGUGAAAGGCCCGCGCUUCACGCGGGAGCUGCCGUUGAUACUGCUGGGCUAGAAUCUUAGCGAGGCGGGCGGAAUGCGCAGUGUAGCGGUGAAAUGCAUAGAUAUUGCGCAGAACGCCGAUUGGGGAGCCAGCUCGCCAGCUGAGUAUUGACGCUGAGGCACGAAAGCGUGGGGAUCAAACAGGAUUAGAUACCCUAGUAC
This 457-nucleotide ribosomal RNA is filed under the name uncultured bacterium. RNAcentral describes it as "bacterial SSU rRNA". It matches the Rfam family "Bacterial small subunit ribosomal RNA", at positions 339 to 793 of the family's 1533-position model. The record is from RNAcentral.